RNAcentral lists this ribosomal RNA (326 nucleotides) under uncultured bacterium. RNAcentral describes it as "bacterial SSU rRNA". It matches the Rfam family "Bacterial small subunit ribosomal RNA", at positions 183 to 507 of the family's 1533-position model. The record is from RNAcentral.
AGAAGGCAUCUUUAUGGUUGAAAAUUCCCGAUGGUUAGAGAUGGGCAUGCGUUGUAUUAGCUAGUUGGUGAGGUAACGGCUCACCAAGGCGACGAUACAUAGGGGGACUGAGAGGUUAACCCCCCCACACUGGUACUGAGACACGGACCAGACUCCUACGGGAGGCAGCAGUGAGGAAUAUUGGUCAAUGGACGCAAGUCUGAACCAGCCAUGCCGCGUGCAGGAUGACGGCUCUAUGAGUUGUAAACUGCUUUUGUACUAGGGUAAACUCACCUACGUGUAGGUGACUGAAAGUAUAGUACGAAUAAGGAUCGGCUAACUCCGUG